CCUACGGGAGGCAGCAGUGGGGAAUAUUGGACAAUGGGCGAAAGCCUGAUCCAGCCAUGCCGCGUGUGUGAAGAAGGUCUUCGGAUUGUAAAGCACUUUAAGUUGGGAGGAAGGGCAGUAAGUUAAUACCUUGCUGUUUUGACGUUACCAACAGAAUAAGCACCGGCUAACUUCGUGC
This 178-nucleotide ribosomal RNA is filed under the name uncultured bacterium. RNAcentral's name for it is "partial 16S ribosomal RNA". It matches the Rfam family "Bacterial small subunit ribosomal RNA", at positions 338 to 508 of the family's 1533-position model. The record is from RNAcentral.